GGAAUUCUCCAGCAACUCUAUUAUCCCUUCUGAAUCAUGUACCACCAACUAUAGCUGAAUGUGUCACACCUGUUAUGCUCUCCUAGAUUCCCAAGGUGUUGAGAAGUUUCAGGCCAAGUUGCUGUGUACAUGGAUAGGGCCUGCUUCCUAGCUGAGGAAAAAGAGCGCUGGAGAUAUUCUACCCUGACCGUUGGCCAGGCUGACUGGGAUAGAAGAUGAAGUCCAACAACAUCUAGAGGUCACUAGAUUGGAGAAGACUGAAUUAGGUGGACUUUGCUCUCCUCCUCCCUCUAGGGCAUUAUAUCCAUUUCAAAGUAACUCAGGUACCCGUAUUUUUCGCUCUAUAAGACGCACCAGACCAUAAGACGCACCUAGUUUUUGGAGGAGGAAAACAAGAAAAAAAAUAUUCUGAAUCUCAGAAGUCAGACCAACAAGAGGGAUCACUGCGCAGCGAAAGCAGCGAUCCCUCUUGCUGUUCUGGCUUCUGGGAUAGCUACGCAGCCUGCAUUCGCUCCAUAAGACGCACACAAAUUUCCCCUUACUUUUUAGGAGGGAAAAAGUGAGUCUUAUAGAGCAAAAAAUACGGUAACUGCAUUUUAGGACUGUAGAAACAUUUUGUCUCUAGCGGUGGUGGUGCUCUUCUUACUGGAUUUCUGUGCUCCAGCACUGCUCAGAGAAACAAACAUAACAAACUACAAGAAUGUUUAACUUUUGAAUGAUGCUAAAAUAGUCAAGGCCACUUGAGGGGUUGUCUGCCUAGUAAACGAUAACAGGCUUCGGUGCAAGGACUCCUUGAAUUUGUUGCAAAACCACAGCACAUUUAGACUAAAUUUAAAGUCAUCUUGGAUGCUUACUGAACUGGUAAGCUAAGGCACUAUCGGUGCAUGAGGCAUUUUGGGUUCAAAUCAUGCCUUAACCAUGAAUCUGCUUGAUGUUCUUAGGCAAGGAGCUUCCAUUCAGCCUCAGCCACCCUCACGUGCAGCGCAGGUGGCGCUGUGGUCUAAACCACUGACCCUCUUGGGCUUGCCAAUCAGAAGGUUGGCGGUUCGAAUCCCUGCAACAGGGUGAGCUCCCGUUGCUCUGUCCCAGCUCCUGCCAACCUAGCAGUUCAAAAGCAUGCCAGUUCAAGUAGAUAAACAGGUACCGCUGUGGCGGGAAGGUAAAUGGCGUUUCUGUGCGCUCUGUUUUCCGUCACAGUGUUCCAUUGCUCCAGAAGUGGUUUAGUCCUGCUGGUCACAUGACCCGGAAAGCUGUCUGUGGACAAUCGCCGGCUGCCUCGGCCUGAAAGCGAGAUGAGCGCCACAACCCCAUAGUCAUCUUUGACCGGACUUAACCGUCCAGGGGUCCUUUACUUUUAUGAGUCUAAUACUAGCAUGAAUCACAGCAUGCCUGGGCUGUCUUUUUGUACAGUGGUACUUCAGGUUAAGCACUUAAUUCGUUCUGGAGGUCCGUACUUAACCUGAAACUGUUCUUAACCUGAAGCACCACUUUAGCUAAUGGGGCUUCCCGCUGCUGCCAUGCCACCAGAGCACGAUUUCUGUUCUCAUCCUGAAGCAAAGUACUUAACCCGAGGUAAUAUUUCUGGGUUAGUGGAGUCUAUAACCUGAAGCGUAUGUAACCUGAGGUACCACUGUAUUGUCUGCUUGCUCCCUAUCGUUUUACUUGGAACUGCCACAGUCUUAUAAAUCAUUAUGAAUGGCUAGGACUGUAAGCUGCCUGCCAUUUUCAUUACUCAGAAGGCUGCCAUGUAGUAGUUGUACGCAAGUGUUCAGAAGAGAGGGAGAGCAGGGAUGCACUUCCUGGUUCUCCCCCCUCUCUCAGGCCCCCAUUGCCUGGUCUGGGGUGGGAAGCACGGGGGAUAGAUGGAAGCUUUCUGUGCAGUUUAGAAGGUCUUUGUAAAUAAACCCUCAAAGCGGUUUACAAGGAGAAUUUGCAAUCAAGCAAAUGUAUAAAUUGUAUGAAAUGUAUAAAUUUUAUUUAUGAAAUAAAUAAGGUCAGAAUGAGGCCACUUCAAGGCUGUCAGCAUUUUGCAGGAGAGGUUCCAAUACAUACUGGAAAUGCAGGUUUGUGCAAUUAAAGUGGAUUAAAGCGCUUUGUUGCCCGAGAUCAAUACAGUGGUACCUCUGGUGAAGAACUUAAUUCGUUCCGGAGGUCCGUUCUUAACCUGAAACUGUUCUUAGCCUGAGGUACCACUUUAGCUAAUGGGGCCUCCCGCCACCGCUGCACGAUUUCUGUUCUCAUCCUGAAGCAAAGUUCUUAACCCGAGGUACUAUUUCUGGAUUAGCAGAGUCUGUAACCUGAAGCGUCUGUAACCUGAAGCGUCUGUAACGCGAGGUACCACUGUAUAUCACCUUUAAAAACUAACCAACCAACAGAGAAGUUUUGCGGUUAGGAAAGUGAGGGAAAAUGCCCAGAAAAAUGUGGAGCAAAUGAAUGAAUGGUUAACAAGAAGAUGCAUAAACACUGUAUCAGCAAAUCAGAAAGAAUGUUCAGUGCUGUGUAACCUCCCUGCAAGCAAAUUAGAAUAGAUGCUCAGAAAAGACCCGGCAUAGUGUAACCUUGGUGUAUGUUUUGCGUAACUAGAUCAAGACAAUUGCUUGAUAAACGGGUUGUCUGGAGUAGCCCUGACUGGACAAGUCUAGUGUUGAUCCAGGGCACUUGUGAGUAAUUAAAAUGGCAGGCCAAUUGCAUCACUGCUGCUACUGUUCGCAGGGUGGAGAGCAGGGAGACCAACAGGAGGUGGAGACAGAGCCAGUGAUGGAUGUAGCAACAGCCAAUGGCAGGCAUGGAUCCAUUGUUGGGGGUGGGCCUUGAGAGGGCCCAAUCCGCUCCCCACUUUCCCAUCUGAAUGCUGAACGGUUUGUCCAGAGUGUUCAAAAUGUGGCUCGCAAUCUUACACCCCUUAACUUAAGACAUGGUUUGAUUCAGGUUUAACGGCAAACUUAAGAUCACACCUUCCACGUUUCCCCCCCAGUUAUGUUUCUGUCUUUCUGAAGGAAGAAUCAAACCAAGCAAGUUGUCUGCCCGGCACUUGUUCUGAACGGACUUUGGAAUCUCUGCUUCCAGCCUCAGAGCUUUUAUUCCUACUUUCUCUCUGGAGCAAGGCAGUGUUGCCCUCUGGGAUUAAGUUUUGGCCCAGGUGCCUGUUUGGAAGAGAACUGCAUGACUUCUCGGCCUUUGCCUCCAAUUGUGAAGCCCUGUGGGAAUCGUGAGAGAACAGAAGAGUAAGCAAAAUAAUAUUCAAAUAAGAUACUGGGAGUUUGAGGCCUCCUCCCCACGACUCUCUGGGAGCCUUUGUGGCUCCUGUGCUCAAACUGUAAAUGGAGAGAGUCUGUUGUCGCAGCAGUUCUCUAGCCAAUCAUAAACGUGCGACUCCUCCUUUAUUUGGCAGUUUCUACAAACUUGGUCAAAGUAGAAAGAUCAUGGAAGCUGUUCAACAGUUCCAGUUUCCCUCUUUCCCCUCACCAAACCCAUUUGAGGAUCAUAAUUUUUAGAAGCAGAGAAGUCGAGAAAAUUCUGCUUUUGGGGUCCGCUCUGCCCAAAUAACAGGUUUUGAAGUUUUACAAGUGGAUAGGGUGACAACAAUAUUCCUUAACAAAUAAAGAAGUCAUACAGUGCAGCUUUUGUGUUUUGCUUUUUGCAAUGAAACGGCUUCCUUUUUCUAAUCUGCUUAUCGCCAGAUUCGAGGGAUUUCAUCUGGUAGGCACUGGCUCCAUUCAUACAGCAAGGAAUUAUAUAUUUCAUAGAAUUGUAGAGUUGGAAGGGAUCAGGAAGGUCAUUAGGCCCAAUCCUACGCAAUGCAGGAAUCAUUUUACCCACUGUAGGCUCGAACCCACAGCCUUGUCAGGGAUUGGACUCAAGAGGGAUGGUGGAGACGACAACAACAACAACAACAACAACAACAACAACUUAUUUCUACCCCGCCCAUCUCGCUGGGUUUCCCCAGCCACUCUGGGUGGCUUCCAACAAAAGAUUAAAAAUACAUUAAAACAUCAGUCAUUAAAAACUUCCCUAAACAGGGCUGUCUUCAGAUGUCUUCUAAAAGUCAGAUACAGUAAUACCUCGGGAUAAAUACGCUUCAGGAUAAGUAUUUUCGGGUUGUGCUCCGCGGCGACCCGGAAGUAAUGGAGCACGCUGCUCGCACAUGUGCAGACAGUCAAAGUGACAUCACGUUCAUGCACAGACGCGUCUUACGUUCUGUUCACGAUGCGAACGGGGCCAAGGUACCACUGUAGUUGUUUAUUUCCUUGACAUCUGGUGGGAGGAUGUUCUGCAGGGCGGGUGCCACUACCGAGAAGGCCCUCUGCCUGGUUCCCUGUAACCUCACUUCUCGCAAUGAGGGAACCGCCAGAAGGCCCUCGGCACUGGACCUCAGUGUCUGGGCUGGACGAUGGGGGUGGAGACACUCCUUCAGGAGAUCACUCCCCCCUUCUCCUGACCCUGCAGGAGAGGAGGGAUGCAACAUUGAAUUACAACAAGGGUUUGAGGAAAGUCACAGCUCAGAGAUAGAUGAACAGAAGAGUUGGGAAUUGUUAGAAGAAGGCGGGGGGGGGGGGGCUACGGCAGGGCAGCCAGCUGACUUGUUGUCACUGGAGAGUCUUUCUAUUAGUUUUUUUUUCAAAAUUUUUAUUGAGUUUCCAAUUUUAUAU
Podarcis lilfordi (Lilford's wall lizard) is the source of this 4649-nucleotide non-coding RNA. The record is from the annotation of a GenBank genome assembly. Lineage: Eukaryota; Metazoa; Chordata; Lepidosauria; Squamata; Lacertidae.